UGUCACUAUGACGAUGACGUAAACAAGAAAAUACCUAGCAAAAGGAUUUUCUGUUUUCACGAAGUGACGGCCAAGUACGUGCUUAACAGCCGUCAAUUCGUGAAAACAUCGUUUGCUCUUUUCCUGCUUUUAAUGUUUUCACGAAGUGACGGUAGUGAAAAUUUCGCAGUUUGGAACAGUCACAGACCAUUAAAAGUUUCAGAUGCAGUAGAUACAAUUUUCACUUGUAUGAAGGAAGCACUGGGAAAGUACAUCUACUUUUCAAGAAUGCCACAGGCCAGAAAAAAAUCCAGAUUGGAUACGGGACCGACAUGCUGGUAAGAUAGGUCCUUGAUAAUUCACUGAACACAGAGCUGCAGAAUGUGACUUGGCAUAGUGACCUAAGAGUGGGAGCGGUAUGGAACCGUUGAAGCAAUUCACCGAACACGUACAGUCAGAGCUGCAUGUGUGACUUGGCAUGGUGACCCUUAAAGUCUCCUGACGGCUCCGAUUGCGAUUCUGAUGAUGACCCAUUGUCUAUGCUUCUGAGCGAGUCAAAAGUCUAGAUAAAGGAUCUUCGCUGCUUCAACCACUAUUGCUUGGGU
This 584-nucleotide long non-coding RNA is filed under the name Strongylocentrotus purpuratus (purple sea urchin). RNAcentral describes it as "uncharacterized LOC115921083". The record is from RNAcentral. Lineage: Eukaryota; Metazoa; Echinodermata; Echinoidea; Camarodonta; Strongylocentrotidae.